Molecule: ribosomal RNA, 497 nt
Filed under: uncultured bacterium
Lineage: Bacteria
Description: partial 16S ribosomal RNA
Rfam family: Bacterial small subunit ribosomal RNA
Source: RNAcentral
GAUGAACGCUGGCGGCGUGCCUAAUACAUGCAAGUCGAGCGAACGGACGAGAAGCUUGCUUCUCUGAUGUUAGCGGCGGACGGGUGAGUAACACGUGUAUAACCUACCUAUAAGACUGGGAUCACUUCGGGAAACCGGAGCUAAUACCGGAUAAUAUUUUGAACCGCAUGGUUCAAAAGUGAAAGACGGUCUUGCUGUCACUUCUAGAUGGAUCCGCGCUGCAUUAGCUAGUUGGUAAGGUAACGGCUUACCAAGGCAACGAUGCAUAGCCGACCUGAGAGGGUGAUCGGCCACACUGGAACUGAGACACGGUCCAGACUCCUACGGGAGGCAGCAGUAGGGAAUCUUCCGCAAUGGGCGAAAGCCUGACGGAGCAACGCCGCGUGAGUGAUGAAGGUCUUCGGAUCGUAAAACUCUGUUAUUAGGGAAGAACAUAUGUGUAAGUAACUGUGCACAUCUUGACGGUACCUAAUCAGAAAGCCACGGCUAACUACGUG